Molecule: non-coding RNA, 253 nt
Filed under: Kocuria turfanensis
Lineage: Bacteria; Bacillati; Actinomycetota; Actinomycetes; Micrococcales; Micrococcaceae
Also listed under: 4 other names
Description: partial 16S ribosomal RNA
Rfam family: Bacterial small subunit ribosomal RNA
Source: RNAcentral
UACGUAGGGCGCAAGCGUUGUCCGGAAUUAUUGGGCGUAAAGAGCUCGUAGGCGGUUUGUCGCGUCUGCUGUGAAAGCCCGGGGCUCAACCCCGGGUCUGCAGUGGGUACGGGCAGACUAGAGUGCAGUAGGGGAGACUGGAAUUCCUGGUGUAGCGGUGAAAUGCGCAGAUAUCAGGAGGAACACCGAUGGCGAAGGCAGGUCUCUGGGCUGUUACUGACGCUGAGGAGCGAAAGCAUGGGGAGCGAACAGG